Molecule: ribosomal RNA, 253 nt
Filed under: uncultured bacterium
Lineage: Bacteria
Description: partial 16S ribosomal RNA
Rfam family: Bacterial small subunit ribosomal RNA
Source: RNAcentral
UACGAAGGGGGCUAGCGUUGCUCGGAAUUACUGGGCGUAAAGGGCGCGUAGGCGGACAGUUAAGUCAGAGGUGAAAGCCCAGGGCUCAACCCUGGAAUUGCCUUUGAUACUGGCUGUCUUGAGUACGGGAGAGGUGAGUGGAACUCCGAGUGUAGAGGUGAAAUUCGUAGAUAUUCGGAAGAACACCAGUGGCGAAGGCGACACACUGGCCCGUUACUGACGCUGAGGCGCGAAAGCGUGGGGAGCAAACAGG